UCAAGAAACUUCCACAAUGGGCGAAAGCCUGAUGGAGCGACGUCGCGUGAUGGACGAAGUGCUUCGGCACGUAAACAUCUUUUAUGUGGGAUGAAAUUAUUGACAGUACCACAUGAAUAAGGGGCUCCUAACUCUGUGCCAGCAGGAGCGGUAAUACAGAGGCCCCAAGCGUUAUCCGGAAUCACUGGGCGUAAAGGGUGUCGAGGCGGUUGUAUUAGUCGUUCGUAAAAUCUACGAGCUUAACUUGUAGGCGGCGAACGAAACGGUACGACUUGAGGUUUGGAGAGGUGCGUGGAACUCACGGUGUAGGGGUGAAAUCCGUUGAUAUCGUGGGGAACACCAGUGGCGAAGGCGGCUCACUGGCUCGGUACUGACGCUGAGGUGCGAAAGCGUGGGGAGCAAACAGGAUUAGAUACCCAAGUAGUCCCUGAGCGGGCUGGCAAGGCGCAU
RNAcentral lists this ribosomal RNA (450 nucleotides) under uncultured bacterium. RNAcentral describes it as "bacterial SSU rRNA". It matches the Rfam family "Bacterial small subunit ribosomal RNA", at positions 355 to 825 of the family's 1533-position model. The record is from RNAcentral.